UGUAUACUCCCUCCGUCCGAAAAUACUUGUCAUCAAAAUGGAUAAAAAAAGGAUGUAUCUAGAACUAAAAUACAUCUAGAUACAUCUCCCUUUAUCCAUUUUGAUGACAAGUAUUUCCAGACGGAGGGAGUAUAUA
Triticum urartu is the source of this 136-nucleotide non-coding RNA. The record is from Rfam. NCBI's taxonomy places the organism in Eukaryota, Viridiplantae, Streptophyta, Magnoliopsida, Poales, Poaceae.